Homo sapiens (human) is the source of this 3501-nucleotide long non-coding RNA. Ensembl annotates it as ARGLU1 divergent transcript. Its record names the gene ARGLU1-DT. Lineage: Eukaryota; Metazoa; Chordata; Mammalia; Primates; Hominidae. The record is from Ensembl.
GCGGACUCGUUUUUUUCCGCCAGUCUUGGCGGAAGCCUGAGACGCAAUAGAUGGAGACUCUCCUUUUCGCCUUGGCGUACUCUUUUUUUUUUUUUCCUCCCUGGAGCUGGUCUUGUGGGGCAGCCCUAAAAUGUAUCUCCAAGUGACCCUGCACUCAUCACUUGCUGCCUUGGACUUAGUUUCCUCAUUCGUAGAAUGGAGACACCACACUUUCUGAAGUGCUUAUGAGACUUGCAGGAGGGAGGAAUCUCCCAGUGUUUGUGCCAUGUUUUGAUCUGACUGAAAGCCAUAAACAUAGCCGAAGCCUGGGCCAUCCACAGAAGACCCAAUGUUCUCUUUUUCCAAGUGGGCAUUUUGUAUCUCUGAAGAGUUCUAGACUGAGCUACAUCAGUAGACCUCUGCAUUUAAAGGGAGCAAUUCUCAUCCGAGGAUCCUGAUUCUUCUACUGUAGUGCAAUUUCACCACUCUCUCCAAAUGUCUCCAAGCAAAUUCAAAGCAGCUGAAAAUAACUGCAUGCCUGAGAGUGAGAGAAAUUUCUUAAGUGAUCGACCAAAUCUGGGUCUGAUUAGUGGGUGGAUGCCUCAUUGGAGAGGCUGAUUUGAGAGUCGGGGUACAAAUAAUAAUGGCUAAUAAUGGCAAACAAUUAGUAAUUGCUAGGUGCCAGGAGUUGUGCUAAAUGCUUUACAUGAGUAGAUAGGAUAUUGCAGAUCUCAACAGUUAAGAAAUUUGCUUGUGAUCAUGUAGUUUGGAGAGUAUCAGAGUCUGAAAUGAAGACAACUUGAGGGUCAAUAAACAGGAAGAAAAAGUACUCUACAAGACAGUUUAUCUGAUAACGGUAUGAUGGAAGAUGGCAUCAGGCGGAGGUAAAUGGGACGAGGGACUGGAAGAAAACCACUGAAUCAAAGACUCUUGGAGUUGAAAGUUUCCUUAGCAACUAUCUAGAUUCAUUAACUUCUUCACAGUUGAGAGAUUUCUGCAUUAUUUUUCUUCCAUAAAUAACCAAUCUCUGCUUAAUUUUUUACCAGACCACCCCAUCUACUCCUGGGCUACCAUUACCAUUCAAGUCUUUUCCCUUCUUUUGGACUAAAAACUACUUUUAAAAAUUGUCAUCCAUUAGUCACAGUCAACCUCUCUGGAGUUAACAAGAUAAAUAUGUGUCUCUUUCAUUUGACAAUCCUUCAAGUAUUUCAACAUAACUAUAACAUUCUCCUUAAGUCUUUUCAUUUCUAUUUGCAAGUUCUUCAGCUAUUUUUCUUACAAUAUAAUUAACAGUCCUUUUGCCAAGCAGGGUCUCUAUUAUUUAGUAAAAGGCAGGCAAAUACUGGAAGACUAUUCACAUUUGAAUUUGACAAAAAAAAACAAACGAAAGCCAUUUUACAAUUAAGGCAACUUAGAUGUCAGGACAAGAAAACUGUAGGACCAGCAUUAAGUAGUCAGUUGAGUGUGGGAACAUAAUCCACAGGAGAAUCUAGUGUGUAUAAUGAAAGUCUGGAAAAAUUCAGUAUAAUAUCAUUUCAAUAACUAUUCCUUUUAAGAUUCCCCUUAGAAGAACACAUAACUUAGAUGUCCUGAGGACAGAAUCUGGAGCACAUCUGAGCAUUUAUAAACUGGAUUCUGCCUGGCACUUAAAAUGUUUUCCUAUUUAGGAGAUUUAAUUGUCAAAUGAGGCUUUUAUCUUUUGAUCCUAUCAACUGAUAUCCUGCAGAAAACGCUGGAUGAUGGAUUUCUUUGGAACACACGAUCAUUCUGUAAUUUUACCUUUCUUUCCUUUUCCUCUGUUUCUUUACUUGUAACUGAACCCUGAAAUAGAACUUAAUCUGUCAGCUGCACUCUACAUUUGUUCUUUUUGCACAGAAAACACUAUUAUUGCAGAUAUUCAAACUAUACAAACUAUACAUUUUUCUUAAAAUUCAACAUAGUUGAAAUAAAAAGGUUUUGCAAAUGUAUUUAAAACUCUUCAGUGCUUACUAUGCUGUUUUUACAUAGUAUCUUUUAGUAGGAAAAACAGAAACAUGGCGAGGUAAUGUCUCUUUUUUUUUGCCUAAUGCUAAUUAAAUAAUCUGUAAACUUAAAUACUAUCAAGAUUUUGAAUCAGCUGAAAAUCAAACUGAGUCAUUCAUAAUUUUUUCUGAAUCUUGAUAUUUUUGCAGUUAUUCUGCAGAGUGUCUUGAAAUGCUAGAAGCUGUAAUAAUUUGUGGCUAUUCUAUUUCUCAAGGACAUUAGAUAGAAAUUUCAAAAAAAUACUUCUGUUCAUAAGACAGUGAGUUAUACCCAUCUUUAGGGAGGUAAAGUAGACGUUUUGAAAUGCUUUUGAGAUUUCAGGAGCCAUGGUAAAAAGAAUAGAAGCAGUUAGAUUCUUAACUCUCCCUAAAUGUGUUAUUAUUUAACAAAAAUAGGAAUUGAUUGAAUAGUUUUGAGUCUAAUUACCAACAGUUUACUCCAUUUGUGUUUUAAAAUGGGAAAUGUAUCUUGAUUCAUUAAUGGAAAUUGCUUCAUUUUGUCCUCCAUGAAACAUGGAGAUGUUAAAGUUUUAUCAUAAUACAGUUGAAAUUACUUAGUAAGAUGAAAUUACUAAUUUCCACACAAAUACAACGCUUACUAUUUCAUUACUAUUACUAGUAAUUUUCAUCUUUCAUUUUAGUAAUUAUAUGGUCUGCACUAUAUAAUUCUUUCUUUCUGAAAGAAUACUCAUCAGAAGUUAUAUUAAUACUUUGAAAGGUUUAUGAAAAAUAAAAAAUGAAAGAUGCCCAGCAUUUUUUUUCUGGUGUAUUUUUAGCAAGAUCAGAUAUCAUAGAAUUUAAAUGAAGAACUUUGCUCUACGUAAUUAGUCAUUGAUCAAAGAAACGACAAAUUUUGGAAUGAAAAUAGCAAAUUCAGUUAAAAUAUUCUGCAAAAAUACUUCUAAAAUUAUUUUUAAAAGAUAGUUGUUAAGGCAUAGGACUAGUACUCUUGGAUACUAUUUUUUCUAGGUGUAUCAUAUGAGUAUUAAUAAUUCAAUCUGAAACAAAUCAGUAAGCUUUCUAGUAUUGAAAUUUUCUCUUUUGCUUUCCUACUGUGUCACCAUCGUACUGUUUUGUUUUACACAGUGAGAGCAUAAUUUUCUUCUACAGGGACCACGAAGCUUCAGGCCAGCCCUGUCCCGAAGUCUUCUGUGCUUCAUGUCGAGUGGUCUGCAGUGGACUGUGUCUGCUUGAAGCGAUGCUCCGGAGGGCUUAUUGUUGUGUGGGGUAAAGCAUGAGAUCACUGAAAAAUGAGAGAAAUCGAGCAUACGAAAUGUGAAGCAUAUCUGUUGACACCAUGCGCUCCCUUUGCUUGCACUGGAUGGCGCAUGGUUUCCGUGCGCAGUGCCUGAGGUGUGGGGCAGGCGAGGCCCAUGCAGCCUGGCUCCUUUCCAGAAGGUUGCUGUUCAUUACAGCUCGAGUGUGCUGGGUUCUGCAGAUAUUAUCUAUUUUAAAUUAACGCUCCGUAAAAGGAAUUUAAAGUUUUCUGAAAAGAAACCAA